Dendrobium catenatum is the source of this 2129-nucleotide long non-coding RNA. RefSeq lists it as uncharacterized. The transcript is spliced from 2 exons. Lineage: Eukaryota; Viridiplantae; Streptophyta; Magnoliopsida; Asparagales; Orchidaceae. The record is from RefSeq and is a predicted model, not a curated record.
CUUCGUAUUCCGUUCCGUUGUUGGAAAUAGAAAGAAAAAAGGUGUUGGUCUUGUCUUGGAUCUGAUCUGGGGAAGGAAACUUUGGGACCGCCUGAAAACAGAGAUUCCAUCCUGACUCAUAGAUUGGUCUUAGACGGAGAAGGCACGUAGUGAAGAGGAAAAUAGAAGAAAGUAGCACUCGAGCCCAAUGAAUUGCCCUUCCCUCUCCGAUACUUAUCGUCGAAUGGCUUGAAUUCGGGUUUGGGACUCGUUCUAUGACCGUACUUCCUGAGGAGAGUAGAGUGUAGACCCUUCCCUAGUGGAAUCCGCUUCUCUUCUUUCUUUUGCUCAGCUGAGCUACGUCCUAUUCCGUCUGACUAUGGCAAGUUUUUUUUGGGAGGCAUUAAGUCCCUUGCUAAAGGGGAUCGAUUUAGAAACAUAGACCCCAUGAAAAUAUGCCAACAAAAAAAGGAAAAACUGCAGGCGUUUUCCGCAGCAGGUCGUAAGCUUUACACAACAGGCCGUGAUGAAGGACGAGUCGUUCCUUCACAUUGCGUUUGUAUGUAUAACAGACAACCGGCGGCGACAAGAGAUAUUUCAAGAGAAAGCGAAUAAUCGAAGUAAGCCGAAGCAUACCAAUGAAGAUAGUGCAAGUGCUGCUUCAUCCAUUCCUGGAGAAGACGCUCAAGCAUAUUCUCUUCAUCGCCCUCCCAGAAUCGUCUAAGCCGGUCAAACUCCUUUUCAUCGAAGUCUUUUGGCUUCACGCGCUCUAAGAUAAAGAACCGCACCAUAGUUACCAUAGCAGACAAGAGCCCAGCUGACGGGGACGUUCGGUAAGGCUUGGCUUUCUAUUUCGAUAGCUAGACGAGUUUCGAAGGGGAAGGAGGUAGAGGCAAAGAAAAAACAAGAAGAUUAGCUGCCAGCCGUCAAUCGAACGGGAAGGGAAAUUGCUCCGCACCUUACCUUACUACAAAGCUUGCCAUCCCCUAGAAUGAAUAGGGCUUUCUUUCGAACAGGAUUUCCCGACUUGAGAGCCUGAAGCCCUAAAGACCAAAGGAGACUGUUGCUUAAAAUGAGACUGGCUAGAAUGGAUAGCGUUGGUUGGACCCCCGAAAAAGAAUUCAUGGUUGAGGCCCACUCUUCCAUCUCAUGAAAUCACAACUGGAAUAGCGGAAAUCAGGUACAAAAAGACGGGUAAGCGUUCUAAUUCAUCAAACUUUCUGCACUUGCUAGGGCAUACCCGAUCACCUGGCUUAACCCAAUGUAAAGGGGGCUAACCCACCUUACUUCAAACGCUUACAGAACUACGGCAAUGGAUUCUCUCAUUCAUGUUGAAAAGCGCUAACAACCUUGAUAUCGCCUGGAAAGGUUCACUCCACUCCCAUUUGAAUGAGACAAAGACACGUUUUGAAUACCGACCAUUGGAGCUAUUUUCAGGCGAUUGGGGCGAGAUACCAUCGGGAGAGUUUCUUCUAUUUCACUCGACAAGCGAACCCUAGUACGAUGCUUGAAAAUUGCACUACUGGAUGUCUAUCUUCCCUGCCAAGAGGCCAAGACUUUUCUUUCAGAUUGGCUCUUUCAACUUGAACUAGAACUUGGACUGUCGCUGAAUCCUUCCCGGGAUAUCAAAUCAUUUACCAUUCUUUCUUUCUUGCGUAUCUCUCCUUUGAGAAAGGGAAUCAGUCCAGAAAUCAAAAGUCUGAUUUCUAUACGUAAUUCUUUCUUUUCUUUGUUCUGCAGUUACGCAGGGAAUCCCGUUCUUUGGGUGAUUCAAGGAAAGCAGCCCAUGUCUUGUUCUAAUCUUGAGGCCGACCACUGGACAAGAAAGCAUAUAGUUUCACUCUUUUGUAGGGGCACCGGCCGGCGGAUAGUAGAGUCCCUCGAAUCUUCUAGUUCAGUUCCUCUCCUUUCAGGCGAGCUACUUUUUGUUUAGAUACGAUAUUUCUACUUUCUUUCUCUUUUGUUUCUAUACGAAAUAUCGUAUGUAUGCUAUGAAUCAAGUUUGUUGUUUGUUUACGAUAAGCCAGCGCCCAAUAGAGCCUAGCCCGGACGGACCAAAAUGGUCUAGCGAAGCCGGUCCCCGCUUGGUGUAAGUACUUCUCGAACUUGAUUGAAAGCAGCACAGCUUUUCAGGAGAGAAUCAUUUAAAA